UGCACGGUGGCGCAGUUGGUAGCACUGAAGAAGGUCCUAGGUUCAAUUCCUGGCCGGAGGUCUUUCUGCAU
Ataeniobius toweri is the source of this 71-nucleotide non-coding RNA. Lineage: Eukaryota; Metazoa; Chordata; Actinopteri; Cyprinodontiformes; Goodeidae. The record is from the annotation of a GenBank genome assembly.